UACGGAGGGUGCGAGCGUUGUCCGGAAUUACUGGGCGUAAAGGGUGCGCAGGCGGUUAUAUAAGACAGAUGUGAAAUCCCCGGGCUCAACCUGGGAAUUGCGCUUGAGACUGGUGUGCUUGAGUCCGGAAGAGGCGAGUGGAAUUCCCGGUGUAGCGGUGAAAUGCGCAGAUAUCGGGAGGAACACCAAUGGCGAAGGCAGCUCGCUGGGACGGUACUGACGCUGAGACGCGAAAGCGUGGGGAGCAAACAGG
RNAcentral lists this ribosomal RNA (253 nucleotides) under uncultured bacterium. RNAcentral's name for it is "partial 16S ribosomal RNA". It matches the Rfam family "Bacterial small subunit ribosomal RNA", at positions 524 to 776 of the family's 1533-position model. The record is from RNAcentral.